RNAcentral lists this ribosomal RNA (484 nucleotides) under uncultured bacterium. RNAcentral describes it as "bacterial SSU rRNA". It matches the Rfam family "Bacterial small subunit ribosomal RNA", at positions 29 to 496 of the family's 1533-position model. The record is from RNAcentral.
AGCGAACGUUAGCGGCGCGCCUAACACAUGCAAGUCGCACGAGAAAGGGAGCAAUCCCCGGUACAGUGGCGCACGGGUGAGUAACACGUAGAUGACCUUCCCUGGAGUGGUGGAUAACCUGCCGAAAGGCGGGCUAAUACAGCAUGGGACCACAUGGUUUUUGACCGAGUGGUGAAAGCGGGCCUCUGUUCACAAGCUCGCGCUCUGGGAUGGGUCUGCGUCCCAUCAGCUAGUUGGUGAGGUAAUGGCUCACCAAGGCAUCGACGGGUAGCUGGUCUGAGAGGAUGACCAGCCACACUGGAACUGAGACACGGUCCAGACUCCUACGGGAGGCAGCAGUGGGGAAUAUUGGGCAAUGGGGGAAACCCUGACCCAGCCAUGCCGCGUGAGUGAUGAAGGCCUUCGGGUCGUAAGCUCUGUGGGAGGGAGAAGUGAUGGCCGUGAACAAUGGUUGUUAUGACGGUACCUCCUUAGCAAGCACCGG